CGAAGGAAUUUAGCGGGCAGUGCGAGCAACCAUACGUGCCCUGCUCGAUACCUCCGAUCCUCGCCCCCCUUUUCCUUUCUUUCCGCUGCAUCCCCCAGCACAGUCGCUCCCACGCGAAACGAGCGAGGCCGGCAGCACAGCGGGAGGGUGUGCAGCGACGACACGCUCGCAGAGAGCGCUUCGAGGCGUUGCCCUUGCUCUACGCGUCGCUUGGUGUGCCGGCGAGAAAGAGCGGCCCACAAGUUUGCCGUUACAAUUAUCCAUCGCAGCAGCGCUUGCCAAGUCUUGCAAUGGUACUUCCGUCAGUGCUACGGGGCAGCGGCGGUGGUGGUGGCCGCGGCUCAGUCUCGGGCCACACUUUGGAGACGUCUCUCGUCGGCAGUCUCCCAGAUAUCGCUGGGAGCGACCUUGCUGAUAGCACCCUCGGCGCCUCGUCCCCGACAGAGGAAGUGUUGCGCAGCAGCCUUGACCUCCUCGCCAAACAUCUGCGACAAACCCAAGCGCGGGAGACGCGGCAACGCACGCUCCUCGUGGAGGAGGCCCUGGUGCACUUCACCGACAUUAUCCGCCGUCACGUCGCUUACCUGGAUAUUGCGGCAUCCUGCGCCUUCCUGCAAGCCACACGAAACGCCCAAGCACAGGCCGAGGCGCAGCAAGCUCAGCAGUGGCAGCUGCAGAUUUUGCAGGACGCGCUGCGUGACACCAUGGCCGAGGAGGAGAAGCGCCGCAAAGCACAUGAGCAGGCGGAGUUGUCGGUGCGCAGGUCACUGGCGCAGCUGCAACGUGCCGAAGUGUACCCAGUGCUGCUGCACGAGGCCUUUUUUCGGCUUACGCACGCCGAACACGUGCGGCGCUCCUUUCUGCACCGGGAGGAGGCACGCGCGGUGGAGGCGAUGGGGAUUCCGUCCUUCAUCUCGCUUCCUUGCCGAUCGGCGCCUCAUGAUGCUCCGUUUGGGUUCGGCGGUGGCGGCAAGGCAGACCCCAAGCAGGGUGCCGUGGAACUGAGCAAGCUCGACUUGAUGGCCGACCAGCGGUGCCCGUUUCGGUGUGCGGCAGACUGCCCAUACAUGCCACAGCGUACUCGGCAACUGGGCAAGCGCUGGGCGGCUGUAGUGGCCAGCGGCGAGGACACUCGUGCCACUGCGGCCUCGCUCCGACUCGGCCGUCGCACAGUCUCUCCAUCCCCCGUUUCCCGGCCGUCGCAGCGGUGGCGAGUGGCUGGACUAGGGAUCACGGAGGUGGGCAAGCAGCGCGUGCGCAACGCGAUGGCGAUGGGACACUACAGUGCCACUGCCGAGUUUCUGCCUGCAUUGCGCUUGUAGUCGCACCUGAUGCGGCGUAGUGAUGGGGGUGAGCGGUGCGUCGCGCGUGCUAAUUCCGCAGUGAACGGUGGUGGGCCGCAGGAACUCUACCCCCUGCGCCUCCGGGGUUUGGGCGAUGCUGGGGUGUGGCGGUGCUGUCGUCUGCUCUCUUGUCUGUCCAUUUGUUCUUGUGCCUCCUUCGGUUCCGUGCCACCCCCCUCCCCCCCACACAAAACUUUUUUGCAGCGCUGCUCUUUUUUUUAUUUUGGUGAUUUUCAGCUUG
RNAcentral lists this unclassified non-coding RNA (1584 nucleotides) under Leishmania donovani. RNAcentral describes it as "gene:LdHU3.22.0510(CDS-product:hypothetical_prote in_conserved)". Lineage: Eukaryota; Euglenozoa; Kinetoplastea; Trypanosomatida; Trypanosomatidae. The record is from RNAcentral.